Micropterus dolomieu (smallmouth bass) is the source of this 757-nucleotide long non-coding RNA. RefSeq lists it as uncharacterized. The record is from RefSeq and is a predicted model, not a curated record. The transcript is spliced from 3 exons. NCBI's taxonomy places the organism in Eukaryota, Metazoa, Chordata, Actinopteri, Centrarchiformes, Centrarchidae.
UUCAACAGUGAUUCACUUCUUACCGGGGUACAUCGCCACUGUAACGUAUGCUGAAUGGCUAACCUGCUCUGGAACAGGUUAUAUUCAAGAUAAGAGAUCCAGGCAACAAAGACACUUCCGACUGACCAGUCACUUCUCCUGCAAAAAAUGUUGUCACCAUUCUAAGAAGAUCCCACAGAUUAUUUUAUAGGCUGCUGUAGGUGAUGUGGAGAGACUGAAGCGAUCCAAUCAUCUCUCACCUGCCCACCAGCUGCCCUCAGUUUGUCUCAUUGGUUUUCACACCUGCUCCUUAUCAGCUAAUCAUCCUGCUGACCUGCUGCCUGCCUGUUCAACUGCACCUCUUCUUCUAAUCAAGCUUCCUGGAUCUAGCAAGCUCUCCCGGCGCUCCUGUAAGAUCAGAGAGUUCGGUUCUGCUGUGUGUCUGCUCCAAGCAGGACAUGCUGGAAGACAGCGGCUGCUAGAAGACAGCUGCAGUGGACAAGUUCUGGAGAAAACAGUGUGAACAGAAACACAUCGUUAAUAUCUAGCCUAUAUCGUGUGCGUGUGUGCGUGUAUCAUAUUUACACAUUUAAGCAGCCUAUAACAAAGUCUUAAGGCUGCUAGCAUAGAAAGAUAAUUUGUCUUAAAAACAAAUCUGUGUUAAACAGGUGCUUAUUAUUGUAGGGAAACGGUGUAUUUGUUUUUGGUGGUGUUUGUUUUGCGCUGUCUGUGUUAAAAUUUCUGUUGCCUCUGUGUUACCUGUCCAACUUCCUGUAAG